AUACCAAUUUGCCCUCACCGACCUCUCCUCGAUCAACGUGCGAUCUCCGCAGAUCCGUCCGUCGGAUUUGCGAACGGAUCGCACCAGUGCGAUCAGCACCUCGGAGACAACAAAGCUACGAUUUCGUUUCACCUCAAACGGUCGCGGAUUUGCGACGAAAUCCGCUCUCUCUCUAAAAGGCCAAAUAUCACGCACAAUUACAUACAAAACACGUAUUAUUGGAUUUUCUCGAAAUCCGUGCGUCAAACUCAAAAUCCGUCAGCGCCAGUAGUUCAAGAACAGCUGAACCGGUCGAAACGAGCUAUUGGACUGCUAUGAACGGAGUCCGAUACGCACCAGAAGCCAACUCUACUCCGUGGCUUCUCCGGAAAACCGGAGUUACUAUUCACUUAGCUCAUUUUCUCCUGAAAAUCCAGUAUCUUCUCCGAAAAUCCAGUAUCUUCUCCAUUUUAGCUCAUUUUCUCCUGAAACUUGACGAGU
This 480-nucleotide long non-coding RNA is filed under the name Ananas comosus (pineapple). Its description in RNAcentral is "long non-coding RNA (ACOM_LNC027857)". Lineage: Eukaryota; Viridiplantae; Streptophyta; Magnoliopsida; Poales; Bromeliaceae. The record is from RNAcentral.